Molecule: long non-coding RNA, 462 nt
Organism: Pezoporus flaviventris
Lineage: Eukaryota; Metazoa; Chordata; Aves; Psittaciformes; Psittacidae
Exons: 4
Source: RefSeq, a predicted model, not a curated record
GGUUUGAACUGGUUUGAACUGGUUUGAACUGGUUUAUACUGGUUUAUACUGGGGGUCUCCUUUCCCCAUCACAGGAGGACCUGGUCACUGAUGCAAUGCCCAUAGUGGAGCGUGAUGGACCUAUAGGGGACCCCCCCUCCAGAUGCGAUCGGCCGCGCACCCCCCCCUCCAGCUCCUCUCCCCAUGCCCCCCCCCCGCCGCUAUGGGGCAGCCCCAUAGCGCUGUGGGGCAGCCCCAUAGCGCUAUGGGGCAGGAGGAGGAAGGAGGGGGCUGGGCCUGCGCUUCCUGCACCUUCCUCAACCCCGACCCCAGUGUUCUCUGUGGGGUGUGCGAGCGCCCCCGCCUGGCCCGGAGGCCUCCGCCGCAGGGCUGGUCCUGCCCCCAUUGCACCUACUUCAACCCAGGCCCCGGCCCCACAUGUGCCCUCUGCCGGCAGCACAUGGGCACCCCCUUGGCCCCGCC